UACGUAGGGUGCGAGCGUUAAUCGGAAUUACUGGGCGUAAAGCGUGCGCAGGCGGCGCGUUAAGACAGGUGUGAAAGCCCCGAGCUUAACUUGGGAAUUGCGCUUGUGACUGGCGUGCUGGAGUGUGGCAGAGGGAGGUGGAAUUCCACGUGUAGCAGUGAAAUGCGUAGAGAUGUGGAGGAACACCGGUGGCGAAGGCGGCAUCCUGGACCAUUACUGACGCUGAUCCGCGAAAGCUAGGGGAGCAAACGGG
This 253-nucleotide ribosomal RNA is filed under the name uncultured bacterium. RNAcentral's name for it is "partial 16S ribosomal RNA". It matches the Rfam family "Bacterial small subunit ribosomal RNA", at positions 524 to 776 of the family's 1533-position model. The record is from RNAcentral.